Non-coding RNA from Ahrensia sp., 115 nucleotides. NCBI's taxonomy places the organism in Bacteria, Pseudomonadati, Pseudomonadota, Alphaproteobacteria, Hyphomicrobiales, Ahrensiaceae. The record is from Rfam.
CCUGGUGGUUAUGGCGGGGUCGCUGCACCCGUUCCCAUUCCGAACACGGCCGUGAAAUGCCCCAGCGCCGAUGGUACUUUGUCUUAAGGCACGGGAGAGUAGGUCGCUGCCAGGU